GUUGUGUUUGUUGAUGAGCAGAUGUGUGCCUGGAAAAAGCCGGAGUAUGUUCAGCCGGAACAGGUUCCUUAUGAUGAGCACAGGUACAGAGCCCAACAGCAUGGGGGCCAGUACGGGGGCCACUGUAAAAGUGGCCCUACAGUAUUUAAUGAUGUCAGGUAUGGGGCCCCAAACAUUGAGGACCAUACAGUCAACACCGUCUUGCAGAAAGCGGAGUAUUACCCCCAACAAAAUCCUGGCCCCUCAACCAUCCCUUCCAUUCCAGCUGUGGUACACCAUGUUGAGCUCCCAACCUUUACCCCCCCACCUAAUGCCAUGCCUCCAGGGACGUAUAGAGAUCCCACUUUUGGAAAAGAGUAAGUAAAACCAACAGAAAGAUUAGGUCAAACACAGGCGUUACUUUAUGUGUGACAUGAUUUCUGA
Molecule: long non-coding RNA, 423 nt
Filed under: Gouania willdenowi (blunt-snouted clingfish)
Lineage: Eukaryota; Metazoa; Chordata; Actinopteri; Blenniiformes; Gobiesocidae
Description: lncRNA (ENSGWIG00000003521.1)
Source: RNAcentral